GAUGAACGCUGACAGAAUGCUUAACACAUGCAAGUCUACUUGAACUUCGGUUUGGGUGGCGGACGGGUGAGUAACGCGUAAAGAACUUGCCUCACAGUUAGGGACAACAUUUGGAAACGAAUGCUAAUACCUGAUAUUAUGAUUUUAGGGCAUCCUAGGAUUAUGAAAGCUAUAUGUGCUGGGAGAGAGCUUUGCGUCCCAUUAGCUAGUUGGAGAGGUAACGGCUCACCAAGGCGAUGAUGGGUAGCCGGCCUGAGAGGGUGAACGGCCACAAGGGGACUGAGACACGGCCCUUACUCCUACGGGAGGCAGCAGUGGGGAAUAUUGGACAAUGGACCAAAAGUCUGAUCCAGCAAUUCUGUGUGCACGAUGACGUUUUUCGGAAUGUAAAGUGCUUUCAGUUGGGAAGAAAAAAAUGACGGUACCAACAGAAGAAGUGACGGCUAAAUACGUG
This 454-nucleotide ribosomal RNA is filed under the name uncultured bacterium. RNAcentral's name for it is "partial 16S ribosomal RNA". It matches the Rfam family "Bacterial small subunit ribosomal RNA", at positions 28 to 507 of the family's 1533-position model. The record is from RNAcentral.